Lasiosphaeria hispida is the source of this 74-nucleotide non-coding RNA. The record is from the annotation of a GenBank genome assembly. NCBI's taxonomy places the organism in Eukaryota, Fungi, Ascomycota, Sordariomycetes, Sordariales, Lasiosphaeriaceae.
GGUCGCAUGGUGUAGUUGGUUACCACGUCAGUCUAACGCACUGAAGGUUCGCAGAUCGAGCAUGCGUGUGAUCA